RNAcentral lists this unclassified non-coding RNA (254 nucleotides) under uncultured Pleosporales. RNAcentral describes it as "sequence contains 5.8S rRNA gene". Lineage: Eukaryota; Fungi; Ascomycota; Dothideomycetes; Pleosporales. The record is from RNAcentral.
GAACGCACCUUGCGCCCUUUGGUAUUCCUUAGGGCAUGCCUGUUCGAGCGUCAUUUCAAACUUCAAGCCCCCCCUUUAGCUUGGUGUUGGGCGUCUGUCCUCCCCCCGGGACUCGCCUCAAAUGCAUUGGCAGCCGGCACGUUGGCUUCGAGCGCAGCAGAAACGCGCGCGGCGUCCGACGGUGCCUGGCUCUCCAGGAAGCCUCCACCUCAAGUUUGACCUCGGAUCAGGUAGGGAUACCCGCUGAACUUAAG